GUGGGGAAUUUUGGACAAUGGGCGCAAGCCUGAUCCAGCAAUGCCGCGUGCAGGAAGAAGGCCUUCGGGUUGUAAACUGCUUUUGUACGGAACGAAAAGGCUCUGGUUAAUACCUGGGGCUCAUGACGGUACCGUAAGAAUAAGCACCGGCUAACUACGUGCCAGCAGCCGCGGUAAUACGUAGGGUGCAAGCGUUAAUCGGAAUUACUGGGCGUAAAGCGUGCGCAGGCGGUUUUGUAAGACAGACGUGAAAUCCCCGGGCGCAACCUGGGAAUGGCGUUUGUGACUGCAAAGCUGGAGUGCGGCAGAGGGGGAUGGAAUUCCGCGUGUAGCAGUGAAAUGCGUAGAUAUGCGGAGGAACACCGAUGGCGAAGGCAAUCCCCUGGGCCAGCACUGACGCUCAUGCACGAAAGCGUGGGGAGCAAACAGGAUUAGAAACCCCGGUAGUCC
RNAcentral lists this ribosomal RNA (450 nucleotides) under uncultured bacterium. Its description in RNAcentral is "partial 16S ribosomal RNA". It matches the Rfam family "Bacterial small subunit ribosomal RNA", at positions 354 to 796 of the family's 1533-position model. The record is from RNAcentral.